Molecule: transfer RNA, 64 nt
Filed under: Rectidens sumatrensis
Lineage: Eukaryota; Metazoa; Mollusca; Bivalvia; Unionida; Unionidae
Description: tRNA-Ala
Source: RNAcentral
AGCUCUAUACUUUAAGUAAAAGGCCUGAUUUGCAAUCAAACAUUGAAUUCUCAUUCUAGAGCUA